This 632-nucleotide long non-coding RNA is filed under the name Homo sapiens (human). Its description in RNAcentral is "HSALNT0259243". Lineage: Eukaryota; Metazoa; Chordata; Mammalia; Primates; Hominidae. The record is from RNAcentral.
ACCUGACUGGCUUCUCGCCAGUAUGAAGAGUCUGAUGUAAGUUAAGUUGUAAUCUAUGAUUAAACGCCUUCCCGCAUUGAUAAGGUUUCUUUCCAGAAUGAAUUCUCUGAUGGUGUGAGAAGCUUGAAUGAUAGCUAAAGGCCUUCCCACAUUCCUUACAUUCAUAGGGUUUCUCACCAGUAUGAAUUCUUUGAUGUUGAAUAAGGUGUGAAUGAAGUCUAAAGGCCUUACCACAUAUCAUGCAUUCAUGAGGUUUCUCACCAGUAUGAAUUCUCUGAUGUCUUUUGUGAGUUCUUUUGUGGUGACUAAAAAAUAAAUGGUAACUGAAGAUUUUUCUACACUUUUUACAUUCAGAGAUUUUCUCUCUAUCAUAAAAUUCUUGAGUGAGUAAAGUAUGUUGGCUAAAAAUGGGCAUGUUUUCAUGGUUAAUCAUAAGUUGUCUAAAAUAACCCUCCUCUUGUCCCUGAUGUUGCUCAAAAUGACAGUUGCCUUCCCAGAUAGCGCUGAAAAUUGAUCUCUCAGGACUAUGGCUUUUAAAUUCUUCCAUGUUAACCCACUGGGAUAAUUCUGUUUCAUAAAUAUCCCUUUUUGGAGAUAACUUCUGGGGCUCAUCUCUGGAUGCCAAGUCUGAA